Molecule: ribosomal RNA, 512 nt
Filed under: Monoon tirunelveliense
Lineage: Eukaryota; Viridiplantae; Streptophyta; Magnoliopsida; Magnoliales; Annonaceae
Description: eukaryotic LSU rRNA
Rfam family: 5.8S ribosomal RNA (bases 116-269)
Source: RNAcentral
GUGGCGUCGAUUGGUCGAUGAGCUUAUCCAUUCUCCCACCUCUGUGAACCGUGUGACCUCCGGGUUAAUAAUCAAACAUCACUGUAACGAACGUAAGAGUAUCUUAAUUAAACAAAACUUUUAACAACGGAUCUCUUGGCUCUCGCAUCAAUGAAUAACGCACCGAAAUGCGAUAAGUAAUGUGAAUUGCAAAAUUCAGUGAAUCAUCGAAUCUUUGAACGCACCUUGCGCCUUUUGGUAUUCCGAAAGGCAUGCCUGUUUCAGUGUCAUGAAAUCUCAAUCUAAUAUGUUUUCUGAACAUGUUAGGCUUGGACUUGGGUGUCUGCCAGCAAUGGCUCACCUCAAAUGACUUAGUGGAACAUCCCACAUCAGUGUUAGACGUAAUAAGUUUCGUCUCUCCUUGUGGUGAUGACUGCUCAAAACCUGCCAUCGCGCACCUUUUGACUUUGACCUGAAAUCAGGUAGGGCUACCCGCUGAACUUAAGCAUAUCAAUAAGCCGGAGGAAAGAAGA